Daucus carota subsp. sativus is the source of this 4610-nucleotide RNA transcript. It is a transcript of the gene named tubby-like F-box protein 5, with no coding region annotated. The record is from RefSeq and is a predicted model, not a curated record. NCBI's taxonomy places the organism in Eukaryota, Viridiplantae, Streptophyta, Magnoliopsida, Apiales, Apiaceae. The transcript is spliced from 4 exons.
AAAUUGUCCCGAGCCAUCCUUGUAGCCCUCGAGCAUCUCCACCCAACUCCUAGAUCAAUUUUUUUUAAAAUAAUAUAAUAAAUAUAUUAAAUAUUAAAUAUCAUAAUCAUUUUGAUAUUUCUUUCAUUUUUACUGUGUAUUUAUAAUUUUAUUAUUAUUUAAGGAAAAUUUUAAAAUAUUAAUAAAAUUAUCCCUUUCCCUCCCAGAGGCUUGGAAGAGUCCAUUUCACUCCCAUAAAAAGAUAAAUAGUAUAUUUAAUAAUAAUAAAUUAAUAUACGUGAAUACUUAGGUUAUUAAAUUUUAAAAAAAAAUCACUUGAGGCCGUUGGAGAGGCGGGAGCUUGUCUGAAGAGUGCACCGCUUUUCAACAUUGAGCUCCUUAAAAACAGUAACUGGUCGAAUAACAUGGCGCAACCCCUCUACCAGAGCGAAUAUGUGUUUUAAGAUUAUGAGAUGCUACUGCUGGUGCAAGCAUGUUGAACUUGGAGGCAUCCAUAUCAUCCACUAACAAACUUCUUAUGCUGACGUGUCACUCCUUCCGCCAGUGGAGCUAGUACUGGUGGCUCGUUCAGGAAUGCUGAGUUACUUCUCAUCCACCUGAAACCAUCAAUCACCACAAGCAUAAAGGUUUUUCAGAUACAGGUUCACUUUGUGUCAAUAUUAUUUUAAAUUUAUGGGUUUUAUUUUUUGACUUUAAAUAAUACUAGUACCUAAUUUAUAAACUAUGUCCUUGCAGAGAAAUCAUAUGAAAAUAAAUUUUUUAGAAAAAUUAUAUACCAGCCGGACCAAUGACUGCUUGCUUAAAUAUAAAAUUAGCUACAAUGAUAUGUACUUAAACAUAAACUAUGUUUUUGCAAAGAAAUUAUAUGAGAAUGAUUUCUUCGAUAUGUUCCAACUAUACCAAUGACGGUUCAUUUAAAUAUGAAAGUUAGCUACAAUGAUAAGCACUUACCACUCCGUUUUGAGGAUUAGUUUCUCUAAGCUACCUUCUCUAUUAUCACUUGCUUUGGUGACAGAGAGUGGGACUGAACUUGAUAGUUGAUAAAUUUUCUCAACUCUAUCAGUUUCCUGUGAAGAGAGGGUAGAAAAGUAAGUACUUCAUUAUGAUUCAAAUUAAUAUCAAGUUGCAGUUUUAAAAUGAAAUUAAUUGAGUACUUCAGUUUAAAACAAUAUAUAUGCGUCAUGCAGCAUAAAAAUUAAGCUUGAAUCCAUGAAUCGGCUUGUUAAAUUUAAUAUAGAUAGCUUUGAACACAUAUAUAAUCACCUCAGAAACAAUUUCAUUAUGUUCCUCCUCUUUUUGCUUCUUGGACUUCCAGUAAGUAUCAAUUUCGUCCCUUGUCAGUGAAUGAUUCCUUUGGUAUUUUACUGUAUAUAGUUUCAUAAAGUUUCAUGGCAAAUCGAAUAUAUAUUGAUACCAAACGAACAGGAGAUUAAAUUUGCAAAUUACAUGUAUAUAUAUUAUCCAAAAAUAGUACCAAUAUGCUUACCUGCCGCGGGAUCUUGAACAUUAGAGCCCCAACCAGCCAUUAGAGAACCCAUGAUGUGAAUAUCCUUGUUUUGGCUUAACUCAAGUGUGUGCUAGUGUAAAAAUUAGACAUUAAUACUGUUUCCUAUUUAUAAGGUGAAAGGCUUAGUAAAUUUGGUCGGUGGGCCUAAGCUAUUGCCAAUCUUAUCUGAUGUAGAUAGUUGUGAAAGAUAGGCUUGAAUAUUUGAUGUCAUACAUAUGGCAUACUUCAUAUUUUAGCUGUAAUACUAACUGAUUAUUGUCAUUUUAUACUUCUUUUGUAUUGUCUGUGUAAGCCAUGCCAAGCCAAGACAAAUUCUCCUAACAACCUGCUGUGUUACAUGAAAUUAUGCAUGCUAUAAAGAUAAUUAUGGUCACAGGUAUCUACGUUCAAGUCUGAGUCUGCAAUGAGCAGCCCAUCUCAAAUUGUUAGGAGUAAAGAUUAUUUCUAGUUUAAGUAGAAGAAAGGAAAGCCUGUUUAGAGCAAGUCCAAUGGUGCUCAACAAAUUCACUUUCACUCUUUUAGUCAGAAUAUCAGCUAAUUGCAACUCCGAUGGUACUCGGUAUAUGGUUUAUUAUACUCACACAAGUUUCAAAGUUGCAGUCCUGUAGAUACUAGUAGGAUUGAUCAAUAAUUGAUGCAGGGAUAUAAACUAUAGUACUAAUAAAUCAUGUCUGGUGAAAGGGGGUGUUUGGAUGUGGAAGGAAUGAUUUACUAACCAAGAGGAAAUGAGGUCCCAUUCCAAACAACAAAAUUUUCAAUCCACACACAAGUAGUACACGGUUAUGAGUAUGAGGUUCCGAAUCCCAUUAACAAGGCUCGUUAGUUAUUAACCAAGUGCCCCCAAAGUCUUUAUUAGAACUUGCCAUUAGGUAAGGAUUAGCCAUAACCAGUGGCAUCUUACAAGUGAUGCUGAUGUCCUGCACAACUUAAUCAUCCUGCACAUUUUACAAGAUAUUCAUAUUAUACUUUCUAUUUGGUGGAUGUAGAUACAGAGUAAAUGUAGCCAGCUUUCUCAAAUCUUAGGAAAUAAUCAUGAAGUCCAUAUUAUUCAGGUUAAGAUACAUGCUAGAAUGAAGAUUGGCUUUAGUUCCAUAAAUAUAUACAUUGCAAGAGAGCAGUACAUGUAGAAGUAGAGUCCACAAGUUUAAUGCAGAAAACCCAUAGGACUCUUAUUUCCAUAAAUAACUCAUAGGACUCUUAUGCUGCUGUUUUGGUAUUUGAUUGUUUCUUCUUCUUUUUCAGAUAGGUAGUGUCAUAUUUGAUAAUUGAUGGUUGGCAUUUGUAGAUGCAAGAGCAGUAAUUUGUUUUUAACCUUGUGUAUAUAAUAUCUUCUAGAAAUACAGCUUAUAAAAUUACAAAGUACAUGUCAUUUUGUAAAUAUGAAACUUUAAAAUGUAUAAAGAUAGAUAAAUUAAUGAUAGAAAAAAGUCAAUUAAAUGAGUUUGUGUGUAUGUAUGAUAUAAUAUAUAUUUGAAGGAGGUGAAUAACAAUAUUAUUAUUAAAAAUUGCAAUGAAUGAAAAGGAAGAUUUUAUUAGGAGGUGAAGAGUGAGCAGUGAGUCACACUCAGAAGAAUAACGCGAUGUUAACAAGUGCCAGGUGGGUAGUGAGCCGCACUCGACGAACAAUGAUAUUAUGAUAUAAACAUCAUUUUGAUAAUAUGGAUUAAGCAGAAGGAGAAAACAAACAUACUGGUAAAUGACAGAGGAAAGAAUCAUCAAGAACGAGUCAUGAAAUCAUAAAAUCACUGUAUAUGGUAUGCUAUCCCUACAAGAAAAUUAUAAUUCUGCAGUUUGUCUUCAUUGUUUUGUAUUCUUUCAUUUUGCCGACUAGCACUCUUAAGUUAUCUAUCAUAUUCAUCAGCUAUGCUCUGGAUAGCCCAUUUAACUUUUUGAUAAUAUUCAAAAUAGUCAUGACUACAACACAGAUCUUUGAAACUAGUCCAGAUACUUGCUCGGAACAUUGUAUUCACCAUUACCACUUACCAGUUUUAUAUUUAAGAGAGAAGCAUCUUCCUUUUAAAUUUAUAGAAACUAUCUAAAUUCCAAGUUUGAAAUAUACGGGCUUUACGAUAAUUAUAGACACUUUCAUUUCCAAAAUGCCAAGUUUCGUGUAGAAGUGAUUACUUUUUCAGCUUGGCGACCGAAACUGAAAAAAUAACUUAAAAUCGGAUUUUGUUUUUCUUAACUGAAUUAGACCGAAUAUAUUCCAUGAACCGAGUCAGACUGAACUUUACUUCAUGAAAACCAAAAAUUAUUUAUAUACAUGUAUUAAAAUAUAUUGUUGGUAUAUAUCAAUAAUAACAUAAUUAAUUAAUAUAUAUAACAUAAUAUAAUAUCAAUUAGUUAUUUGAGUAUGAAUCGAUCUCUGAACCCGCUAACUAUAAAACAUCAAAAUUAUACUCCCUCCAUCCCAAAAUGUAUUAGCCAGUCCCAAAAUGUAUGAGCCAGUAUGACUAGCACGAUUUUUAAGAAAUGAAUGUUUGACUUAAUCUUAGGCACAUAAAAAGAGGCCGUGGGUAUUUAAAUGACGGUAGUUUAUGAAUAUCUGGUUGUAAUAAUCUUAAAUAGAUGCCAUAAAUUGAAGAUUUAUUCUUUUUGGGACAUCCAAAAAAGAAAAAUAGCUCACAUAAAAUGGGAAGAGGGAGUAUAAUUAGUCAAACCUUUUAACAGGACUCUGGAACUUCCGAAUAGGUUAAUAUUAAAUCAUAAAAAGGCGGGGCAGGUGUGUUGUUGCCUAUUAAUGGAGCCGUAGAGGUGAUCCAUUACAUUUUAAUCGUAAUUACCUAGAACUAUUAAGCAUGCAUGUUUUUUCAUAAUAUAACAUGAUAGCUCAUGCAUUUUUUAAUUUAGUGGAGGAAAAAUUCUUGAUUAAGUUUGUAGGCUGUGGAAACUAUAAUUGUCAAUUGAGUAGUGUCACAACAGAUCGACUCCAUCUCAAGUUUACUCAAAUCUAAUGUUAAAAUCUCAAACAAAUAUUACAGACCCUUCAAUAUUUCUCUCUUUGAGCCCGAAAAUAUCCGGCAAGUAUGCAUGAGUAUUUAAAUUUUGAAAAUUUAAAAUUUGUCCUCCUUUCCGCUUAAAAUCCUAAACUUGUCAAGAACAU